This is a non-coding RNA of Actinomyces johnsonii F0510, 45 nucleotides long. The record is from Rfam. Lineage: Bacteria; Bacillati; Actinomycetota; Actinomycetes; Actinomycetales; Actinomycetaceae.
CCCCCCAGGCCUCUCGCUCGUCAGAGCACGCCCAAAUCGGGGGGU